Molecule: ribosomal RNA, 436 nt
Filed under: uncultured bacterium
Lineage: Bacteria
Description: bacterial SSU rRNA
Rfam family: Bacterial small subunit ribosomal RNA
Source: RNAcentral
AACGAACGCUGGCGGCAUGCCUAACACAUGCAAGUCGAACGAAGGCUUCGGCCUUAGUGGCGCACGGGUGCGUAACGCGUGGGAAUCUGCCCUUGGGUUCGGAAUAACUCAGAGAAAUUUGAGCUAAUACCGGAUGAUGACGUAAGUCCAAAGAUUUAUCGCCCAAGGAUGAGCCCGCGUAAGAUUAGCUAGUUGGUGGGGUAAAGGCCUACCAAGGCGACGAUCUUUAGCUGGUCUGAGAGGAUGAUCAGCCACACUGGGACUGAGACACGGCCCAGACUCCUACGGGAGGCAGCAGUGGGGAAUAUUGGACAAUGGGCGAAAGCCUGAUCCAGCAAUGCCGCGUGAGUGAUGAAGGCCUUAGGGUUGUAAACCUCUGUCCUUGGUGACGAAGAAAGUGACGGUAGCCAAGGAGGAAGCCCCGGCUAACUACGUG